UAUCAGACUGAUUACCGUGGUGUUGCAGUGCAGUUCAAGAGACCUGUAUUUUACUGAAUCCUGGACCCAAAGCACGAGAGUAGUGAUGCUGAUAACUCAGGUAUGCCAAAGAUGUAAGUGCUUCCUUUCAGUGAAAAGGUGAACACUCUCUACUCAAAAAGGAAAGAAAAAAUAUAUGCUGAGGAUGCUCAGAUCUUUGGUAACAACGAAUCUUCUAUCCAUGAAACUGUAAAGAUGGAAAAAAGGAAUUUGUGCAUGUUUUGACGUUGCAAAACAAGUUACAGCACAGUGGUUGGAUUUCCUCCUUUGGAGGGCCAGGCUGGAGGUGUUAUGGAUUGUUGGGUGUUGACCUGAGACAUCGCAGCCCAGGCAUGCCCCUGCUCACUUGGUACCUGCCCACCUCCCUGAGUCGGGGCUGCCAUCUCCUCUGUAACGGUGCUGUUACCACACAGGGCUGGCAUGAAGUGAUGCUAGUAACUUGCAACUUUGCUACUGUGGCUCCCGUAUGGAAGGAUACUGGUUGAAGGAUUCCAGAGUCACGCCUAGGUCGUCCCAGACAGGUUCUUCUACUGGAUGCUACCUGGCCUGCCCCCAGCCUCUGAAAGGCUCUCACCCACCUCAUUCCUACCACCCAGGGGACCGACAGAGAACUGCCAUGUGCGAAGCACAGGGGCCCAGUGCUUGUCUCAGGCCUGCUCCCUCCCUCUUCCCCAAUCUUCACUUCCCCGGGGCUUUUUCUUCCUCUCCCAGGAAGAAUGACAGAUGGGAAUAUCCACAUAGAGGCUCACCCCCUACUCAGAGAGGCUGGCCUUUUCAGAAUACCUGAAAGACCAUCUCUCAACUUGUUUCCCUAAGUCUGAGAUACGUGGUUUGGAAAAUCACCUUGGGGGAUACUUUCACCAAAAGUCCAAACUGGCUGUUGCCACUGGGUCCACAUUUGUGGUUCCCUGUGAGUAGGAAGUGAGGCCAGGUUUCCAGUGAUUUUCUUGAUCUGGCCCAGUCUCCAUCAUGAGAUGUGGUAUGACAAAUGCUGAAGUCCUAAUCCCAAAGGUGACAGUGUUAGGAGAUGGGACUUUGGGAAGUGACGAGGUCAUGAAGGUGGAGCCUUCAUGACUGGGAUUAAUGCCCUUAUCAGAGAGACCCUAGAGAGCGAGCACACCCCUUCUGCCAGGUGGGUACAUGGUGAAAAGGUGCCGUCUAUGAAGCAGGAAGCCCUCGUUGAAUAUCAAAUCUGCCUGCACCGACCCUGAACC
Long non-coding RNA from Cervus elaphus (red deer), 1253 nucleotides. RefSeq lists it as uncharacterized. The transcript has 3 exons. Lineage: Eukaryota; Metazoa; Chordata; Mammalia; Artiodactyla; Cervidae. The record is from RefSeq and is a predicted model, not a curated record.